AAGUCGUAACAAGGUUUCCGUAGGUGAACCUGCGGAAGGAUCAUUACUGAGAUAGGGUCCUUCGGGGCCCGACCUCCAACCCUUUGUCUACCUUACCACUGUUGCCUCGGCGGGUCGCCGGCGCCUUUCUAGGCGUCGCCGUCGGCCUCUGCGCUCUCGAGUGCCCGCCGCCAGGCCCUAAAACCCUCUGUAAAUUAGUCUUCUGAGAGUAUAUUCAAUACUUAAAA
RNAcentral lists this unclassified non-coding RNA (227 nucleotides) under plant metagenome. Its description in RNAcentral is "partial contains small subunit ribosomal RNA and internal transcribed spacer 1". The stretch from base 1 to 46 matches the Rfam family "Eukaryotic small subunit ribosomal RNA", at positions 1786 to 1831 of the family's 1831-position model. The record is from RNAcentral.